GAUGAACGCUGGCGGCGUGCCUAAUACAUGCAAGUCGAGCGAACAGACGAGGAGCUUGCUCCUCUGACGUUAGCGGCGGACGGGUGAGUAACACGUGUAUAACCUACCUAUAAGACUGGGAUAACUUCGGGAAACCGGAGCUAAUACCGUAUAAUAUAUUGAACCGUAUGGUUCAAUAGUGAAAGACGGUUUUGCUGUCACUUAUAGAUGGAUCCGCGCCGCAUUAGCUAGUUGGUAAGGUAACGGCUUACCAAGGCAACGAUGCGUAGCCGACCUGAGAGGGUGAUCGGCCACACUGGAACUGAGACACGGUCCAGACUCCUACGGGAGGCAGCAGAAGGGAAUCUUCCGCAAUGGGCGAAAGCCUGGCGGAGCAACGCCGCGUGAGUGAUGAAGGUCUUCGGAUCGUAAAACUCUGUUAUUAGGGAAGAACAAAUGUGUAAGUAACUAUGCACGUCUUGACGGUACCUAAUCAGAAAGCCACGGCUAACUACGUG
This 497-nucleotide ribosomal RNA is filed under the name uncultured bacterium. Its description in RNAcentral is "partial 16S ribosomal RNA". It matches the Rfam family "Bacterial small subunit ribosomal RNA", at positions 28 to 507 of the family's 1533-position model. The record is from RNAcentral.